AGUAUCCGAAGAUAAUUGCUGGAUUUAGGGUUGGGUUAGUAAUGACGCGAACAUCACCACCACCUGGUGCCCAAGUAUCGUACAGACCGCCAAAGAACAUUGCUUUGAGGACUAACAAGAGUGCACCACAUCCUAAAAUAAUGAGGUGGAACCCGAUGAUGUUGGUCAUCUUGUUCUUAUCUUUCCA
Molecule: antisense RNA, 187 nt
Filed under: Calothrix sp. PCC 6303
Lineage: Bacteria; Bacillati; Cyanobacteriota; Cyanophyceae; Nostocales; Calotrichaceae
Description: Antisense RNA which regulates isiA expression
Rfam family: Antisense RNA which regulates isiA expression
Source: Rfam by way of RNAcentral